GGAUAGAAUUGCAAUGCAAAUGAUCGAAGAACUACUUAACUGGAAUUGACCUGAAAGGCUGUGUAACCUCAUCAUCUUCUGGUGGGGAACCCUUCAGAUAAGACAAAUAUACAUUGAUCCCUGCAGCUCUAUAAUUAUGUAUGUAAGAAUACAUGUGUCUCCUUGCUCAACUUACCUUACAUAUGUAGCAAAUGGUUUCUGGAACGUAAUUAGUCCUUGGAAAUGGAAAAUUA
Molecule: unclassified non-coding RNA, 233 nt
Filed under: Hevea brasiliensis (rubber tree)
Lineage: Eukaryota; Viridiplantae; Streptophyta; Magnoliopsida; Malpighiales; Euphorbiaceae
Source: RNAcentral